This 821-nucleotide ribosomal RNA is filed under the name Bacillus velezensis. Its description in RNAcentral is "bacterial SSU rRNA". It matches the Rfam family "Bacterial small subunit ribosomal RNA", at positions 69 to 872 of the family's 1533-position model. Lineage: Bacteria; Bacillati; Bacillota; Bacilli; Caryophanales; Bacillaceae. The record is from RNAcentral.
ACAGAUGGGAGCUUGCUCCCUGAUGUUAGCGGCGGACGGGUGAGUAACACGUGGGUAACCUGCCUGUAAGACUGGGAUAACUCCGGGAAACCGGGGCUAAUACCGGAUGGUUGUCUGAACCGCAUGGUUCAGACAUAAAAGGUGGCUUCGGCUACCACUUACAGAUGGACCCGCGGCGCAUUAGCUAGUUGGUGAGGUAACGGCUCACCAAGGCGACGAUGCGUAGCCGACCUGAGAGGGUGAUCGGCCACACUGGGACUGAGACACGGCCCAGACUCCUACGGGAGGCAGCAGUAGGGAAUCUUCCGCAAUGGACGAAAGUCUGACGGAGCAACGCCGCGUGAGUGAUGAAGGUUUUCGGAUCGUAAAGCUCUGUUGUUAGGGAAGAACAAGUGCCGUUCAAAUAGGGCGGCACCUUGACGGUACCUAACCAGAAAGCCACGGCUAACUACGUGCCAGCAGCCGCGGUAAUACGUAGGUGGCAAGCGUUGUCCGGAAUUAUUGGGCGUAAAGGGCUCGCAGGCGGUUUCUUAAGUCUGAUGUGAAAGCCCCCGGCUCAACCGGGGAGGGUCAUUGGAAACUGGGGAACUUGAGUGCAGAAGAGGAGAGUGGAAUUCCACGUGUAGCGGUGAAAUGCGUAGAGAUGUGGAGGAACACCAGUGGCGAAGGCGACUCUCUGGUCUGUAACUGACGCUGAGGAGCGAAAGCGUGGGGAGCGAACAGGAUUAGAUACCCUGGUAGUCCACGCCGUAAACGAUGAGUGUAAGGGGGUUAGGGGGUUUCCGCCCCUUAGUGCUGCAGCUAACGCAUUAGCACUCCGC